GAACCCGUGGCGCAGUGGUAGCGCGUAUGAUUCCAGCCUAGUUUGGACAUCCAUAAGGUCAUCCGUUCAAUCCGGGUCGGGUUCA
RNAcentral lists this transfer RNA (85 nucleotides) under Suillus plorans. It matches the Rfam family "tRNA". Rfam says of the family: Transfer RNA (tRNA) molecules are approximately 80 nucleotides in length. Their secondary structure includes four short double-helical elements and three loops (D, anti-codon, and T loops). The record is from Rfam by way of RNAcentral. Lineage: Eukaryota; Fungi; Basidiomycota; Agaricomycetes; Boletales; Suillaceae.